This 497-nucleotide ribosomal RNA is filed under the name uncultured bacterium. RNAcentral's name for it is "partial 16S ribosomal RNA". It matches the Rfam family "Bacterial small subunit ribosomal RNA", at positions 28 to 507 of the family's 1533-position model. The record is from RNAcentral.
GAUGAACGCUGGCGGCGUGCCUAAUACAUGCAAGUCGAGCGAACAGACGAGGAGCUUGCUCCUCUGACGUUAGCGGCGGACGGGUGAGUAACACGUGGAUAACCUACCUAUAAGACUGGGAUAACUUCGGGAAACCGGAGCUAAUACCGGAUAAUAUAUUGAACCGCAUGGUUCAAUAGUGAAAGACGGUUUUGCUGUCACUUAUAGAUGGAUCCGCGCCGCAUUAGCUAGUUGGUAAGGUAACGGCUUACCAAGGCAACGAUGCGUAGCCGACCUGAGAGGGUGAUCGGCCACACUGGAACUGAGACACGGUCCAGACUCCUACGGGAGGCAGCAGUAGGGAAUCUUCCGCAAUGGGCGAAAGCCUGACAGAGCAACGCCGCGUGAGUGAUGAAGGCCUUCGGAUCGUAAAACUCUGUUAUUAGGGAAGAACAAAUGUGUAAGUAACUAUGCACGUCUUGACGGUACCUAAUCAGAAAGCCACGGCUAACUACGUG